This 853-nucleotide long non-coding RNA is filed under the name Brassica napus (rape). Its description in RNAcentral is "long non-coding RNA (BNAP_LNC024805)". Lineage: Eukaryota; Viridiplantae; Streptophyta; Magnoliopsida; Brassicales; Brassicaceae. The record is from RNAcentral.
AUCGUCAUCUAUACGGGUACAGAGGAAUGUCACCGUCGGCUUCAGCACCUCCACCUCCGUAGCUUCCGUGCUUCACCACCAUCUCCGUUGCGUUUCCUUCGUCACACCACCAGAUCCGGCAUGUCUGUUCCGUCACGAUACCACCUCCAGCGCGUUUCCUCCGUCACGCCACCACCUCCGACGUGUCUGCUUCUUCUCAGAUCUGUAAACUAAACAAAGAAAAACAAUUAGAAAUAGCUUAAGAGAUGCAGAGAAAGAGAUUAGAAGAGGAGUGAAACACCUUGCUUCUUCACAAACGAUGAAUAAAGAGGAUGAAACACAGAGUCAUGAAAUCGGCUUUGUCUCUACGACAAUGGCGACUAAUGCUAACGACGGCAUGUGUGAAUGGAGGUAGAGUAGGGAUAGACAUGGAGAUGAAUGGAGAUUGAGCAAAUGAUAUAAGUUGAGAUUGAGAAGAAGAGGAGAAAAAGAGUAGAUGAGGAGCAGAAGAUGGAGUACGUGAGGAGAAGAAAGAAUAAUCUUAGUCAAAAACAAAGAAAGAGGAGAUGAGACGAUGGAGCUUGUGAGGGGAGAAGGGAAGAAAAAGUUAAAACAAAACCAAAUCAAUCUGAUCCGUUGGAUCUAAUAUUAUCAAUGGUUAGGAACAGAAAACGGUGAACCACACUAUUCCAAAAUGAACCAAUAAGAAAUCAGCACUCUAUUUCUUUAAUAGUUUAUUAUUAGAUUCCAUAGUUUAGGAUUAUAUUUAUGUUUUUGUUGUAUGUUUUGAUUUCAAUAGAAUUGCAACUUAGAUAUAUUAGAAUUUGGGUUUGAUAAUUAAAAGUUUAAAGUUGAAAGUUUAUAUUAAUGAUUA